RNAcentral lists this ribosomal RNA (221 nucleotides) under uncultured bacterium. Its description in RNAcentral is "partial 16S ribosomal RNA". It matches the Rfam family "Bacterial small subunit ribosomal RNA", at positions 282 to 518 of the family's 1533-position model. The record is from RNAcentral.
GGUAGGUGGUCUGAGAGGACGAUCACCCAGACUGGGACUGAGACACGGCCCAGACUCCUACGGGAGGCAGCAGUCGGGAAUUUUGCGCAAUGGACGAAAGUCUGACGCAGCAACGCCGCGUGAGGGAUGAAGGCCUUCGGGUUGUAAACCGUCUUUUUCUCAGGGACGAUAAUGACGGUACCUGAGGAAUAAGUCACGGCUAACUACGUGCCAGCAGCCGC